This 253-nucleotide ribosomal RNA is filed under the name uncultured bacterium. Its description in RNAcentral is "partial 16S ribosomal RNA". It matches the Rfam family "Bacterial small subunit ribosomal RNA", at positions 524 to 776 of the family's 1533-position model. The record is from RNAcentral.
UACGAAGGGGGCUAGCGUUGCUCGGAAUCACUGGGCGUAAAGGGUGCGUAGGCGGGUCUUUAAGUCAGGGGUGAAAUCCUGGAGCUCAACUCCAGAACUGCCUUUGAUACUGAAGAUCUUGAGUUCGGGAGAGGUAAGUGGAACUGCGAGUGUAGAGGUGAAAUUCGUAGAUAUUCGCAAGAACACCAGUGGCGAAGGCGGCUUACUGGUCCGGUUCUGACGCUGAGGCGCGAAAGCGUGGGGAGCAAACAGG